UACAUAGGGGGCGAGCGUUGUCCGGAAUGACUGGGCGUAAAGGGUGUGUAGGCGGUUUGUUAAGUUAGAAGUGUAAUACCCAGAGCUUAACUCGGGUGCUGCUUCUAAUACUGACGGACUGGAGUGUAGGAGAGGAUGAUGGAAUUCCCGGUGUAGCGGUGGAAUGCAUAGAUAUCGGGAGGAACACCAGAGGCGAAAGCGAUCAUCUGGACUACAACUGACGCUGAGGCACGAAAGCGUGGGGAGCAAA
This 250-nucleotide ribosomal RNA is filed under the name uncultured prokaryote. Its description in RNAcentral is "partial 16S ribosomal RNA". It matches the Rfam family "Bacterial small subunit ribosomal RNA", at positions 524 to 772 of the family's 1533-position model. The record is from RNAcentral.